RNAcentral lists this ribosomal RNA (253 nucleotides) under uncultured bacterium. RNAcentral's name for it is "partial 16S ribosomal RNA". It matches the Rfam family "Bacterial small subunit ribosomal RNA", at positions 524 to 776 of the family's 1533-position model. The record is from RNAcentral.
UACGGGGGGGGCAAGCGUUGUUCGGAAUUACUGGGCGUAAAGGGCUCGUAGGCGGCCAACUAAGUCGGACGUGAAAUCCCUCGGCUCAACUGAGGAACUGCGUCCGAUACUGGAUGGCUUGAGAUCGGGAGAGGGAUGUGGAAUUCCAGGUGUAGCGGUGAAAUGCGUAGAUAUCUGGAGGAACACCGGUGGCGAAGGCGGCAUCCUGGACCGACACUGACGCUGAUGAGCGAAAGCCAGGGGAGCAAACGGG